UACGUAGGGUGCAAGCGUUGUCCGGAAUUAUUGGGCGUAAAGCGCACGUAGGCGGUUCGUUAAGUCGGAUGUGAAAGCCCUCGGCUCAACUGAGGAAGUGCACCCGAAACUGGCGAGCUUGAGUACGAAAGAGGAUCGCGGAAUUCCCGGUGUAGAGGUGAAAUUCGUAGAUAUCGGGAGGAACACCGGUGGCGAAGGCGGCGAUCUGGGUCGAUACUGACGCUGAGGCGCGAAAGCGUGGGGAGCAA
This 248-nucleotide ribosomal RNA is filed under the name uncultured bacterium. Its description in RNAcentral is "partial 16S ribosomal RNA". It matches the Rfam family "Bacterial small subunit ribosomal RNA", at positions 524 to 771 of the family's 1533-position model. The record is from RNAcentral.